GUUGCAUCUUGAGCAGUGACCUGCCAAGGGCAAAGGACCCUGCUCCCUGGACUCACAGAUUUUCUAAUGCUUGGGCAGGUGGUUACUGCAUGUUCCACAUCAGUCAAUGCAACUUAGGACAAAACUAACAGGAUACAUAAAACAGAGGUCAGGCUGCCGGGACCAGUGUAUUUCCGUUGCAGCCAGAUGGAUUUUUUUUGUUUGUUUUUUAUUUUGUUGAUUCUCAGAAGCAGAAAGCAUCACUUUAAAAGUUUGUUUGUUCAUGCAAACUCUAUUUGCAUUCUUACAUUAGUUAAGCUAAGCAGCAAAAAGGAAAAACACACACACUCACAUUUAGCCCAUGUCAUUUACUUGUCAGUUUCUUUGACAUAAUGCCGCAUCUUCUCCACAUGGGCUUCACGUGGUUUGGAGAUGGGUGGGGGAAAACAAUCAGGUUUCUUCAGGCUGAGGAGGACUUGCUCAGGCCGAUUCCAAACAUUGUGUUCGUUCAAUGCGUAGAAAUGAUUUGCAUGAUGGCAUGCCGUGAUCAGGAGUCAUGCAUGAGAACCAUACACCACAGGACACUACUAACCCUGUCCCCUGCACUGGGUCAGCCUUUGGACAGGACCCAGCCCUGCACCGUUCACUGUAUUUGGAGAAAAAAUGGUCUUGAGAUGGGCCACAGAGCUAUAAGAUCCCGCUCCGUCCUCCAAGUGCUCGUGCUAGUGAUGUCAUUAAGCUACUAGAGCAUAUUAAUGAGAUUUUUUGAGCUCUGACCUUUUUUCCUCCCCCAGGCCCUGCUCUCCCCACCCAGCAGGCUGUCUCCUCAGUGACACACACAGGCCUUGGUAUCUGACACCCAUCAGCCAGCUUCAUAGGGAAGAAGCCACCUCCACUCUAUUUGAAGUUUCACUUUUUUUGUUGUUUGUUUCUAAAAACUUUUCCCACCUUCUUUCUCCCCACCUGAUGGCCCUCCACCCACCCACUCGUUCACGCACUCUCGCACUCACCCGCCCUGCUCCACACUUCUUUGGUAGUAAGUGACACCAUCACCAGCAGUUUACACCCGCAGUUAACAGGCAUUGAACUGAAAGAGUCAUGAAGGCGUUCUCGCACGUCUUCACCCAGUGGAUAAGUGGCAACGCUUUGCCAAAUAUUAACAAAGCCAAUCAAAAAGCAGCAGCAGCCACAGUAUCACUGCACAUAUAUAUAUAUAGAUAUAUAAAUAUGAUAUAAAUAUUUAUUUUUUGUAGCCAGGUCCUUGGUGCAGUAUUUAUACUCCAGAAUCCACCUUUAAAAAAAGGACAAAAAGCAAAAAGACAUGUGUGAUGCUGUUAAUUUAAAACGCAGAGCCAAAGCCACCGAGCAGCAGCUGACAUGGUUGCUGGUUUGUGUGUGAAAAACACUUUCCCCUCUUCUUUUCUUUAACCUCCUCGUUGCUUAGGAUGAGGAGACUCCGUCAUUUAAAGCCGAGGGCGAGAGCAGGAGACACUUCCCAAGUCAGCUGCCUUGGACCCACCCCUCUGAAUGAGCCACUCUUGGCAUCAGAAGUUGACUGAGGAGAGAUUAACAGAAACUCCCGGUCAAAGCCCCUGGAACAGCGAUGCCCAGAGUUCUCUCAUUUUUUGCUGCAACCAACGUAAGCUUGUAAAAGACCAAUAGUAAAGACUAGUGUAUUAGUGGAUGCAUGGAGGCCAGCACUGCUCUAACCAAGACGUGAUGAAAAGUACAUCACUUCCAUAAGCCAAAAGGAAACAAUAAAAAUGACCCUUUUUACUGUACAAGGGAAGCCUGUCUUGGUGUGCGUUUGCUGCUUGACUCUCCCAAUAUUUUUUAUACCUGGGAAGUGGGACUUGAGCACAUUUGGGGAAAGGAGGGGAACGAAAGGGAGAGAAAUGGGGAUUUCUUGCAAAGUUCUGGCUAAAAAGCCAAGAUUGGAGAGAAAAGCAAAGUCCUGAUCUCCCCAGGUCCCCACUCACCCACUGCGUGUGGCUUUCCUCCCCCUGCUGGGCCGCUGCUUCCAGGCCCAUUGAUACCUGUUCCUCACCCCCGGCAGAGCCCCCAGAGAUGAUGCCAGCCAACCCAGCUGGACUGGCCUUACUCCUGCCUUUUUCACCAGUAUUUUAAGAAGACCAUUCCAACGCCCCAUAGCUCGGGCGAGCACAAUGCCCAACAGCCUCCACUCUGCUAGCUACUGCUGGGCCCUGCCCUCCAUCUCCCCCACCCACAAACCAGCAGACUCGGCUGGUCUCAUUGGCACCACCCCGCCCCGCUUUGGGGACACCCCUCUCUAGGCCACGUCUCCCAGUCCAGGAACACUCAGGAGGAUUUUGAAGUGCCCACUCUAGUCCGCUCCAGGAUCUCCGCUCUGGAGAGAGAUGGCUGGUAGGUCAGUCCCCAUCCUCCCCUCUUGGCCCCCAGCCUCCAGGCCUGCUGUGGAGGUUAGAUGGCCACGGUUGUGACUUAGUGACUGAGUCCUGGGCAUCUUCUGUAAUGAUGCCUCUUUCUUUUCUCAGAUGUUGCCCAAAGUUUUGCAAAAAGCUUCGUUCAUUUUCAGGUACCCCCACCCCCUAAAGAAUUGGCUGCAGCUAGCCAGCCAGGGGGGACAUCAGGAGAGAAGAGGGAGUCUGGGUGGGGAGGGGCCCAAGUUUUGCCAUCUGGGCUGUGGCUCAGCAUUGUGCUUUCUUGGAUUCCCCUUCCAAGAGCACCAAGAUUUCCUGUCAAAACGCUCCUGAGGCACCCCCUGCCCCUGCCCCCCACUGCUGUUUGCUGUACAUAGAGGCUAAGUGGGGUGGGGUGGGCGGGUGUGCACGUGUGGUGUGUGUGUGUGUGAAGAAUGUAUAUAGGUAAAGGGGAGCGCGGUCCAGUGGUUCCAGAGAAGGGACAGAACUCCUGUGUUCCAUCCCUAGCUCAACCACUGACUCGCUGUGUGGCCUUGGGCAAGUCACUUAACCUCUCUGUGCCUCAGUUUCCCCGUCUGUAAAAUGGGGAUAAUAAUACUGACCUACCUCACAGGGGUGUUGUGAGGCUUUAACUAAAUGUUUUGUAAAGUGUUUUUUGAGAUACAGAGGCAAAGGCACUAGGGAAGGGCAAAGUAUUUAUUUGGACUUCCGGAAGAUGAAAUGGUACCAUAAAUGCUGCUAUUCUGAGAGCCAUUUUAAACUGCACUGCUCCAACCACCCCCGCUUCUCAUCACCAGGACAGCAGGUCGAGAAAAUGUCUUUCCUUUCACUUGCUUCUGGGGUUUGUGAUUGUUCUAGACACAAUUCUUUUACCCUUGCUGUAUCUCCUUCCCUCACCCACUCGACUUGUUCCCUGUUCCGUUUAUGCGGAAAUGGCAGAAGUGCUUGAGAAAUGAGAAUGUAUAAGUGGAUUGGAAGUUUAUAGUCUGAAAUUUCAAUUUUACUUUGUACUGUACAUCUUUUUACUUUAGAAUUUGCAAUAAAGGGUUACGUCAAUCUUGUUUUCAACUCUCCUCUUGGACUGGCCUGUCAUUCUGUCAUUACUCGCACACCGGAGCCCCUUGGCCCAGGGGUGCCCACCCAGCAGGACCCCAAGGCAUCUGCUGUCCUUGCCGUGGUGGGAGCACAGUCUGAGUGAAGUUGGUGUAGGGGCUCACCCAGGCUCAGCUCCCUCAGUGG
This 3620-nucleotide long non-coding RNA is filed under the name Bos grunniens (domestic yak). RNAcentral describes it as "lncRNA (ENSBGRG00000000273.1)". Lineage: Eukaryota; Metazoa; Chordata; Mammalia; Artiodactyla; Bovidae. The record is from RNAcentral.